UAGAAAUGUAAUAAUUUGGCUGGAGUAAGUCCAACCGCAUUGUAAAGUUAAUGAAUUCCUUAGCAGAUCUUUUUUUUUUUUUUUUUUUAAGACGUUGCAUUCAGAAAGAGCCACCGAGCACAAAAUUAAUUGGGCAGGCUUACAAAAUAUCCAACUCAGACAUUAUAGGAGUCAAUGAGAGAGGUUGUGUGGAGAAAGGCUUAUUGCUUUUAUCUCCCCGCGUGUCACAGUUGUACAGCCAGCGAUGAUGAUGCUUUAUAUUGAAAAUUAAAGGAGUGCUUCAAAGCCAAUUUAGAAUGAGAAAGGAAAAACUGUUGUUGCGGGACUAAACUUGGUGGGAAUUGUGACUUACCACUGCAGCACAGCCCCAGGGCUCGCUGCUGGCAGGCGUCUGCUGACCUGAUCUGGAGCUUUUGCACAGGUCAGAGCAUAAAGUGAGCACAGUGCACGUGUGGUCUUGGAUUUCCCCAUGGGGACAGAGGUGCUUUGCCCUGGGACUCACUCUGCAGCAUCUCUGAUGCUUCUGCCUGCAUUUUAUGCUGGGACUGGCUUAUGUCUCCACCUUCUCCUGGUGCUGAGAUGGUUCAUUCACCAUCUUUGCAUGUUGGAACAAAACUACCAGUGUGCCUGCUGGAGUCUGUGAGAAGAAAACCCCUUUGUAUGUGAGGAUCCAAAUCAAUGUGACCUAACAUUAAGCUUUAAGUUAGUCUUAGUCCCCUGAGUUGUAUCCAUCAUCAUAGCAAAUUGAGGGAUAAGAGACAGAAGUCUCUUCAGCAUCAUGAUGCCCUGUCCCUGGAGACACCCAAGGUCAGGCUGGACUCUGAGCACCUGAUGGAGCUGUGGGUGUCCCUGUUCAUUGCAGGGGAGUUGGACCAGAUGGCCUUCAGGGGUCCCUUCCAUCUCAAACCAUUCUGUGAUUCAGUCAUUCCAGCCAUCCUUGCUUCUCUCCCUGGACCACAAAGGAAGGCAGAAAGAUACAUCACCUACUUUGGCAUCUCAACGAGGAGCAUGAAGAGUCUGAAUGAACCCAAAUCCCAGGACCCAUAUAGAGCCCUUCAGCACGCAAGUGACUUCACAAGCAAACCAAACCCGAGGAGAAUUUCUGGAGCCUUUUCAGCAUAGAAGUUCAUCAUCAUCUUCCUAUCAUCAACACACAUGUGGUAGCAUCCUUCUGUGGACCAGCUGAAUUGCUUUGAUGUUACCUGCUGGAUUGCAAAUGGGUAGCAGGAACAUUGUAAAGCCUCAAAACCUUCUCCUCUAGGUAACCAUGUGUCUGGCACAGCACUGAGAAGAAUGACGGGUCCCUGACUCAAACACCAGAUUAAUUGCGUUGGUCAAGUGGACCAACCUUGUCCACCAUGAGUUCUACAUCUGUUUAUUCUUAUUAUUAAACAAGGAAAUUGUAAAAAAAAAAAACUUCUUUUUUUCCCUCUGUAAUUAUCCUUUCAAAACAUUGCAGUCAAAAUUAUUUCAGAUCUCUCAGCUGCAAGCUAUGGAUGAUCGUGGUCUAAGAUGUAGUUCUGCAUCAUUACAACAACAGAUCAAUAGGUGAUUAAAAUGCUAGUUUAAUUUCAAAGUUAUUGUCUCCAUUUCCUUCGUGUCAGAAAGCUUCUUGCAUGUGAAGGUAAGCUUUAGCUGGAGGGUGUGCACAAACUCUGGUGUGUGGAAUGACGUGCUGAUUAUAAAGAGGAUAAUUAGAAGAGCAUUUAAUGAAUCUCAAGAGCCAUAGCUCAGACGUCUUCGAUCACGGGUUUUAUAACCCAUGGCCUCGUGAUGAAGGCUUUUUACCACAUUUGCUAUUUUGUUGGUGG
Molecule: long non-coding RNA, 1811 nt
Filed under: Numida meleagris (helmeted guineafowl)
Lineage: Eukaryota; Metazoa; Chordata; Aves; Galliformes; Numididae
Description: lncRNA (ENSNMEG00000017190.1)
Source: RNAcentral